CAGCAGCCGCGGUAAUACAGAGGGUGCGAGCGUUAAUCGGAUUUACUGGGCGUAAAGCGUGCGUAGGCGGCUUCUUAAGUCGGAUGUGAAAUCCCUGAGCUUAACUUAGGAAUUGCAUUCGAUACUGGGAAGCUAGAGUAUGGGAGAGGAUGGUAGAAUUCCAGGUGUAGCGGUGAAAUGCGUAGAGAUCUGGAGGAAUACCGAUGGCGAAGGCAGCCAUCUGGCCUAAUACUGACGCUGAGGUACGAAAGCAUGGGGAGCAAACAGGAUUAGAUCCCCGAGUAGUCCCUGUCUCUUAUAA
Molecule: ribosomal RNA, 301 nt
Filed under: uncultured bacterium
Lineage: Bacteria
Description: partial 16S ribosomal RNA
Rfam family: Bacterial small subunit ribosomal RNA
Source: RNAcentral